GAUGAACGCUGGCGGCGUGCCUAAUACAUGCAAGUCGAGCGAACAGACGAGGAGCUUGCUCCUUUGACGUUAGCGGCGGACGGGUGAGUAACACGUGGAUAACCUACCUAUAAGACUGGGAUAACUUCGGGAAACCGGAGCUAAUACCGGAUAACAUGUUGAACCGCAUGGUUCAACAGUGAAAGACGGUCUUGCUGUCACUUAUAGAUGGAUCCGCGCCGCAUUAGCUAGUUGGUAAGGUAACGGCUUACCAAGGCAACGAUGCGUAGCCGACCUGAGAGGGUGAUCGGCCACACUGGAACUGAGACACGGUCCAGACUCCUACGGGAGGCAGCAGUAGGGAAUCUUCCGCAAAGGGCGAAAGCCUGACGGAGCAACGCCGCGUGAGUGAAGAAGGUCUUCGGAUCGUAAAACUCUGUUAUUAGGGAAGAACAAGUGUGUAAGUAACUAUGCACGUCUUGACGGUACCUAAUCAGAAAGCCACGGCUAACUACGUG
This 497-nucleotide ribosomal RNA is filed under the name uncultured bacterium. Its description in RNAcentral is "partial 16S ribosomal RNA". It matches the Rfam family "Bacterial small subunit ribosomal RNA", at positions 28 to 507 of the family's 1533-position model. The record is from RNAcentral.